This 419-nucleotide long non-coding RNA is filed under the name Canis lupus familiaris (dog). RNAcentral's name for it is "lncRNA (ENSCAFG00000051483.1, ENSCAFG00845025091.1)". Lineage: Eukaryota; Metazoa; Chordata; Mammalia; Carnivora; Canidae. The record is from RNAcentral.
AUGGAGAUAGAGAAGAGGAAACCAAAUGAGUUCCUGUGUGUGGGAGGUACAGGUGAGCUAUUUAUGGUGCCAGGAACUCCACACUCAUGACUCAUUUAUUCCCUAUAAUAACUCUGGGGUGUUGGUAGUAUCACCAUCACUUUAUGCAUGAAUAAGCGGAGGUUCACAGGAAACAUGUGGCAGAAGUGGGGCUUUAACUCAGGACUGACUCCCAAACCUGUGCUCUUCCUUCUACCCUCUAUAGAGCCAAGAGUGGUGCUUUAUGUGCUGCACCAAUGCUGGUCUGGCAGCAGCUGGCCAUGUCCCAGGAGCUGAGGAUGGGGCUGACCCGGAGAGAUGGACUGAGCCAGACAGUCCCCUGCCCCUGCCAACUGCUGUGCCAUUACUUGUGUUGAAGAUGAAGGCAAAGUGGUAAAGGC